GAUUUUAUCACAAUCCAAUUAAUGACCGUAUAUUUAUAAUACUAAUUUCUUAACCUUAAAAUUAAAUCUGUCAAGUGUUUAAAGUACUUUAGUCAUUCAAUAUUUUGUAAAUAUAAAAAUAAUCAUUAUAAAAUUGAACGGUUAUAUCAAAGAACGAAUUAUUAGAAGAAAAAAUUGCUAAGCAAUUAAAAAAAUAAAAAAGAGUUACAAGCUAGU
Long non-coding RNA from Cotesia glomerata, 216 nucleotides. RefSeq lists it as uncharacterized. The transcript is spliced from 2 exons. The record is from RefSeq and is a predicted model, not a curated record. Lineage: Eukaryota; Metazoa; Arthropoda; Insecta; Hymenoptera; Braconidae.